This 460-nucleotide ribosomal RNA is filed under the name uncultured bacterium. RNAcentral describes it as "partial 16S ribosomal RNA". It matches the Rfam family "Bacterial small subunit ribosomal RNA", at positions 338 to 795 of the family's 1533-position model. The record is from RNAcentral.
CCUACGGGCGGCAGCAGUGAGGAAUAUUGGUCAAUGGACGAGAGUCUGAACCAGCCAAGUAGCGUGAAGGAUGACUGCCCUAUGGGUUGUAAACUUCUUUUAUAUGGGAAUAAAAUGUUCCACGUGUGGGGUUUUGUGUGUACCCUAUGAAUAAGCAUCGGCUAACUCCGUGCCAGCAGCCGCGGUAAUACGGAGGAUCCGAGCGUUAUCCGGAUUUAUUGGGUUUAAAGGGAGCGUAGGUGGAUUGUUAAGUCAGUUGUGAAAGUUUGCGGCUCAACCUUAAAAUUGCAGUUGAAACUGGCAGUCUUGAGUACAGGAGAGGUGGGCGGAAUUCGUGGUGUAGCGGUGAAAUGCUUAGAUAUCACGAAGAACUCCGAUUGCGAAGGCAGUUCACUGGACUGCAACUGACACUGAGGCUCGAAAGUGUGGGUAUCAAACAGGAUUAGAUACCCCAGUAGUC